GGUAUGAUUUUUACAAACUUGAAUCUGCACUAUGUCAGGAAGCUAUUUGUACUUUCCUGGCCCAGUGGUUCUUGAAAAGAAAAUUUUUAAAGAAUGUUCCUAUAUAUUUGCAUGUAAAUCUUUGAUCCCCUAUUGUGGGCCCAUCCUACCCCCAGUAGUGACCAUGGUUUUAAUAAACUUGAAUCUGCACUAUAUCAGGAAGCUAAUAUAUGAAUUUCAGUUUUUCUGGCUCAGUAGUUCUUGAGAAGAUUUUUAAAUGACCCCAUCCUAUUUUUGCAUUUUUGUGAUCAUCUCCCCCUUUCAAGUGGACAUGGCCAUUCCUGUGUACAAACUUGAAUUCCCUUCCCCCAAGGAUGCUUUGUACCAAGUUUGGUCGAAAUUGGCCCAGUGGUUCUGGAGAAGAUGAAAAUGUGAAAAGUUUACAACAACAAUGACAAUGACGACGGACAACAGACAAAUUUUGAUAGACUCAUGUGAACUAAAAACAGCAUUUGGUUUUUGCAUCCGAUAGGUUCGCUUUUGGGUUUGCUUUGUGAGUCUGUUGUGAAUCAGCUUUGCCAGUCCAUUCAGAGUCAGUUUUGUGUUCCCUGAGGACUGAUGAGGUAAGAGCCUUCUGUACAUUUGGGUCGACACAGUAUAUUAUAUCAAGGCUUGAAAAUGACUGUAUAAUAUUAUAAUCAUGGACGGAGAAUAUCCUACAGAAAUAUCAAAGCAUAAUGUUGAUGACUGAACAAAAUCAGAACUCUCAGACCUACAAACAUCAAAGCUUGUCAAUGACUAGAAAAGUUUAUGGGCAUAGAGUGCAUAGACAGGGCUCGCGCUGCCCAUCGCAUUUGUCGCAUUUUGCGAUUUUUCAGAAAAAAAUUUGACAGAAAUUCUGGAAAUGCGACACGGACAUUUCGUAUUUUAGUAUUUGCGCGCCAUUUUGAAUUUCAGCUGUUGGCAUCCAAACAGCCUCAGGGCUGUUUUACCUGUGCAGAAUGUGGAUACCCUGUCGCAUGGGAACAAUAAGACUUAGGGGCGUCUUGUUUAUUUAGCAGUUUACACAAAACAAAGGGUUGAUCCUCUAUGUGCAGACUUCAUGAAGUCCCUUCUCCUCUACAUGAUGAGAUUCACCGAAGGACCACUUUGUCAUUCUGGAUUUCAAGAUGAAAACAGGAUUCUUCAGUGAAAAUGUGAUGUGAAACUAUGAUCAUGUGUUAUGUAUUACAGUAAUUAAUUUUCAGUAACUUUGUCAUCAGUGACUUUUUCUAGACUGCAAAUUUAAUGAGUAAUAUAUGUCAUUUACACUACUAAAAUGAUUAAUAAACAUUUAGAAACUCA
Long non-coding RNA from Ostrea edulis (European flat oyster), 1323 nucleotides. RefSeq lists it as uncharacterized. The record is from RefSeq and is a predicted model, not a curated record. Lineage: Eukaryota; Metazoa; Mollusca; Bivalvia; Ostreida; Ostreidae. The transcript has 2 exons.